GAUGAACGCUGGCGGCGUGCCUAAUACAUGCAAGUCGAGCGAACGGACGAGAAGCUUGCUUCUCUGAUGUUAGCGGCGGACGGGUGAGUAACACGUGGAUAACCUACCUAUAAGACUGGGAUAACUUCGGGAAACCGGAGCUAAUACCGGAUGAUAUUUUGAACCGCAUGGUUCAAAAGUGAAAGACGGUCUUGCUGUCACUUAUAGAUGGAUCCGCGCUGCAUUAGCUAGUUGGUAAGGUAACGGCUUACCAAGGAAACGAUGCAUAGCCGACCUGAGAGGGUGAUCGGCCACACUGGAACUGAGACACGGUCCAGACUCCUACGGGAGGCAGCAGUAGGGAAUCUUCCGCAAUGGGCGAAAGCCUGACGGAGCAACGCCGCGUGAGUGAUGAAGGUCUUCGGAUCGUAAAACUCUGUUAUUAGGGAAGAACAUAUGUGUAAGUAACUGUGCACAUCUUGACGGUACCCAAUCAGAAAGCCACGGCUAACUACGUG
Molecule: ribosomal RNA, 497 nt
Filed under: uncultured bacterium
Lineage: Bacteria
Description: partial 16S ribosomal RNA
Rfam family: Bacterial small subunit ribosomal RNA
Source: RNAcentral